CCUACGGGUGUCAGCAGUGAGGAAUAUUGGGCAAUGGGCGCAAGCCUGACCCAGCAACGCCGCGUGAAUGAAGAAGGCUUUCGGGUUGUAACCUUCUUUUGUCAGGGACGAAGCAAGUGACGGUACCUGACGAAUAAGCCACGGCUAACUAUGUGCCAGCCGCCGCGGUAAUACGUAGGUGGCAAGCGUUAUCCGGAUUUACUGGGUGUAAUGGGCGUGUAGGCGGGACUGCAAGUCAGAGGUGAAAACCACGGGCUCAACCUUUGGCCUGCAUUUGAAACUGUAGGUCUUGAGUACUGGAGAGGCAGACGGAAUUCCUAGUGUAGCGGUGAAAUGCGUAGAGAUUAGGAGGAACACCAGUGGCGAAGGCGGUCUGCUGGACAGCAACUGACGCUGAGGCGCGAAAGCGUGGGGAGCAAACAGGAUUAGAUACCCGGGUAGUC
RNAcentral lists this ribosomal RNA (443 nucleotides) under uncultured bacterium. Its description in RNAcentral is "partial 16S ribosomal RNA". It matches the Rfam family "Bacterial small subunit ribosomal RNA", at positions 338 to 795 of the family's 1533-position model. The record is from RNAcentral.